RNAcentral lists this ribosomal RNA (497 nucleotides) under uncultured bacterium. Its description in RNAcentral is "partial 16S ribosomal RNA". It matches the Rfam family "Bacterial small subunit ribosomal RNA", at positions 28 to 507 of the family's 1533-position model. The record is from RNAcentral.
GAUGAACGCUGGCGGCGUGCCUAAUACAUGCAAGUCGAGCGAACAGACGAGGAGCUUGCUCCUCUGACGUUAGCGGCGGACUGGUGAGUAACACGUGGAUAACCUACCUAUAAGACUGGGAUAACUUCGGGAAACCGGAGCUAAUACCGGAUAAUAUAUUGAACCGCAUGGUUCAAUAGUGAAAGACGGUCUUGCUGUCACUUAUAGAUGGAUCCGCGCCGCAUUAGCUAGUUGGUAAGGUAACGGCUUACCAAGGCAACGAUGCGUAGCCGACCUGAGAGGGUGAUCGGCCACACUGGAACUGAGACACGGUCCAGACUCCUACGGGAGGCAGCAGUAGGGAAUCUUCCGCAAUGGGCGAAAGCUUGACGGAGCAACGCCGCGUGAGUGAUGAAGGUCUUCGGAUCGUAAAACUCUGUUAUUAGGGAAGAACAAAUGUGUAAGUAACUAUGCACAUCUUGACGGUACCUAAUCAGAAAGCCACGGCUAACUACGUG